CACGAAGAUGCGAGGGAGUAUCACGCUGAGGAUCAAUUGUGACAAAUACAGGUAAGACCUUAGUAUUCUCCUUUGACUCUAAUGUAUCUAUGGCCUUGGCCAUCACUUGGACUUGCUCAGGUCCUACAUCUGGGGAAGAUGUAUAGCCAAAGUACAACAAAACCCAUUUCCCCAUAAAGUCUUGCUCAGUAACAACCCGAUUAUUUGUAUCAACCAGAGUGAAUGGACCGCCAAUAAUAGGGCCCUUCACAUUGGCACAAUCACAUUUGUUGCCUUCACCUUUUGGAAUUGCUCUCCUCUGAUCAUUAGAAUACACCAAAGCUGCCAGUCCAGCAAAUACAGCAACUGGAAUGACAAGAGUACCCCACAUGCGAGGAGCCUGUGNGAGGAGCCUGUGUUUCUACAGGCUUUACAGCUAAAGGACGAGCCUCUGGCUUUACUCGUCUAUGUUCUGUAGAUUUCGUAUGGCUACGAGAUUGAAUCCUUUUAGAUGGACCAAACCUC
Molecule: unclassified non-coding RNA, 504 nt
Filed under: Hevea brasiliensis (rubber tree)
Lineage: Eukaryota; Viridiplantae; Streptophyta; Magnoliopsida; Malpighiales; Euphorbiaceae
Source: RNAcentral